This 479-nucleotide ribosomal RNA is filed under the name uncultured bacterium. RNAcentral's name for it is "partial 16S ribosomal RNA". It matches the Rfam family "Bacterial small subunit ribosomal RNA", at positions 28 to 507 of the family's 1533-position model. The record is from RNAcentral.
GACGAACGCUGGCGGCGCGCUUAACACAUGCAAGUCGAGCGAUGAAAUUUCGACAGAUCCCUUCGGGGUGAAGAUGAAAUGGAUUAGCGGCGGACGGGUGAGUAACACGUGAGUAACCUGCCUUUGACAUUGGGAUAGCCUCGGGAAACUGGGAUUAAUACCAAAUGACACUAACUGAUCACAUGAUCAAUUAGUCAAAGAAAUUCGGUCAAAGAUGGACUCGCGGCUGAUUAGCUAGUUGGUGAGGUAACGGCCCACCAAGGCGACGACCAGUAGCCGGCAUGAGAGGCUGGUCCGCCACAUUGGAGCUGAGACACAGUCCAAACUCCUACGGGAGGCAGCAGUGGGGAAUAUUGCACAAUGGGGGAAACCCUGAUGCAGCGACGCCGCGUGAGCGAAGAAGGCCUUCGGGUCGUAAAGCUCUUUUAUGAGGGAAGAUAAUGACGGUACCUCAAGAAAAAGCCCCGGCUAACUACGUG